GAACAACCUAAUGUCUUUAUUACAUGACCAGUUAGUUACAGUAACAGAACAACCUAAUGUCUUUAUUACAUGACCAGUUAGUUACAGUAACAGAACAAGCUCAUGUCAAGGUGCUUGGUUUGGUGUAGAGGUAUUUUGUUUAAUCUGUGUCUGAUAUAUUUCAAUUGAGACUAUAUGACUGUUUGCUUUACAAUAUACCAGGUUCCUGGUUCUAUAUUGCGGAAGUCCUGAGUUGAAUGUAUGUUUUGUUUCUACACAUUCUAUUGCAGUGAUAUCUCUGGGAGCUGAAACACAAAGCUAUUCUCCAUUGUCUUUACUCUGGAUGUUGUAUCUUAAGUGUUGUGGUGCUGUACUAGAGACUCUAGUGUAAUUCACAUUUAGCAGAACUAUAAAAAGUCAAACGCAAUGCUUUCAUUGCGUGGACACUUACACACACACACCGUUUGUCGUGCGCCGGCAUAACAGAUACGACGUAGACAAAUUGUUAAACGAGCGUCCACAUAAGUACAGAAAGUCUAUUGGUCCAUCACACCAGGCCCUGAGAGACUCCUGUCCGGGGGGUGUACUUGUACAUCAAGCUGCCUCACGGCUCCUAUGAAGCCUUGGCUCGUGCACGGCUACUUACUUACUAUAGCCACCAUGUCCAAGUAAACACACACUAAUCAAAGGGAUAGAACAACUGUGUUCCUGCAUUGAACCUGUAGAACACUGUGCUUAGAAUCCAUCCAUAAUGACUAUUACAGUUUGAGGGUUUUUCAGGCUGGCUUUUUGUUUGUUUAUCUUUUCCCUGCUAAUGAAGGAAAGAGCCGGUCAACCAGAGGCCUGGGGUCGUGUUCACUAGGCACCAAACGGAAGCAAGGGGCAGAAACGGACUAACCUGAACUCGUACAAUAAAAAAAAAGCUUGUUUUUGUGUCCUGUUGCAAAGUGUUUUUGCACUGUUGUGCUACGGUGUGCACUAAUGAAUAUGACCCCGUUGGAGUUCAACAGUACACAGUGGGCACCACCAGUGUUAUAGUGUACAGGGAAAUAGUCUAUUAAAGCUAAUCACUAAGGCCUUCUCAGAAUAGGUUUCCUGUGCUGUUGUUCUCUGUUUGGGGUCUCGGGAGUGUGUGAGUGUGUGUGUUUGUGUGUGAGAGAGAUGGGAGAUAGGAAUGAGAGCAACAGAGAGAAAGAAACAAACAAAUAAAGAGGGAGAUAAACGUGUUGCGAUUUCAGGGAAACUGAAAAACUGUGAUGUCAUCGGAGUCAAAUGAUCAUUGUGUUCUCUAUGGGGAUUUCAAAAGGCAUAUUCUACAUGUAUUUGUAGACAAAAGUACUUGGCAUUAAAAUGAACAUUUAAGAUCAUUAAUUAAAGAGAAAACUAUUUGACUUGUCUUCACUAAUUACAUUUUUGUUUUUAUGAAGUAGAACAAAUGUUAGGUGAAAAGAGCAUGGAUUUUAAUUAAAUGUCGUUGUGUCUGUUUGUGGUGGUCCUUAAUAGACUGAGUUAGAAACCUCUGGAUGGUAUGUCAGCAAAACGCAACCACCCCACCCACACACACACACACACACCCUAAACCAAAACACACACACGCACACACCCUAAACCAAAACACACCCACACACUUUGAGCAGUAUUUUGGACUCUCAUCCCAUAAUUCCCAGGUGUAGAUAUCUGACAGACAGCCCUACAGCCCUCCUCCUCCUUCUCCUCCGGUUCUCUCUCUCCCCCCUCCUGACAGACA
This 1726-nucleotide long non-coding RNA is filed under the name Salmo salar (Atlantic salmon). RNAcentral describes it as "lncRNA (ENSSSAG00000108577.1)". The record is from RNAcentral. Lineage: Eukaryota; Metazoa; Chordata; Actinopteri; Salmoniformes; Salmonidae.